RNAcentral lists this long non-coding RNA (8013 nucleotides) under Olea europaea subsp. europaea. Lineage: Eukaryota; Viridiplantae; Streptophyta; Magnoliopsida; Lamiales; Oleaceae. The record is from RNAcentral.
UUCAGCACUAUGCACUGAAAAAAGGAUAAAUGAUGUCGUGUAAUAAUUGUAUUGUUCAGGGUUUUUUUUUUUUUUUUUUUUACACUGUUGUUUUUAUUCAUCUGAUGAUUUCUCAUCCAACCCUACUCUCCAUUGUCCUCUAGCGAAAUUCAAAAAUCUCUCCCCAAAAAUAUCAAUUCUAACAGUGAAAUUGAAAUCCUUAGGAGAUCGUUUAAUUUUUUUCCUCUAUUAUUGUUCGAAUAUCUUUCUUUUGUUGUUAAUCGCUUGUUUCUUUCGCCCCUCGCUUGGUUCAAAUUCGACCAACAAGAGGAAAAAUUUCACAGAAUGUAUACCGUAACACCUUUAUCCUACUUUAUCUCUUGCCUUUUGUUGAGUAUGCUUCUUUGAUUUCUAUAUUUCUAUUUCUCUUCGAUCGAUCUCUUCUUUGUGUUUAGGAUUUUCUAAAUUGUAUUGAGAUUUUCUGUCAUCUCCUUCUUUUGCUUGUUCUUCUAUGUAUUUGUUUGAUUUUUAGAUCUGCAUUUGGUUAAUUAUUUUCGUAUUGGGGUUUUUUCGAACUCUGCGCGAGUUUCUAUUUUAUUUUUUCCAUCUCUUCUUUCUACAUAUGUGUAUAUCUUUGGCUUUUUUCUUACCUCUAUUUUUAUUUGUUUGAUGUGUUUUGGGUUUUUCUCAGAUUUGUUCUACAUGGUUAAAUUAAAUUUAUGCGAGUUGCUCAUUACAUCCAUUCACUAUGAAAUUACUAAAUUAACUAUUGCUUUUGCUGUUGUAUGAGGCUGUUGUUAAAUAAUUUCAAGCUAGAUGUGAAAAAACCAAUUUUCCUGUGAUUGAUAUAGUAAGUAUUCAUGAUCAGUUUCCAUUUCAAAUAAUUUAUUAUGGUUCAUUAUUACUUCCAAUAUUGUAAACUGAUUAUUAUUGUAUUAUAACUGUUGAACUACUUAAAAUUUAUUCCUUUCAAAAGUAGCCUCGGCGAUCCAUUGCACCCAUUUAGCUGAAAUUAGAACUUGUAGUGUAGUUUUCACAUACUUUUAAAAAUUAAUAUUAUUUUCACAUAAUGGAUAAUUGUUUAUUAUGAGAUUGUUAAAGAGUGUUUCUUUUGCUUCUCAAUUCUAAUUAUUAGCUAUUUAUCUUUAUUGACUUCAAGCUAUUAUUAAGAAGAAAUGUAGCCUAAAUGCUACCAAUGUUGGUGAUGAGGUUGGCUUUGCCCCUUAUAUUCAGGUUGAACAUUUUAUUUUGGUGGUUUUACUUUCUCGUCCUUUGAUUUCUACAAUCCACAUUUACAAUAUUAUGUCCGUUCAAUUUCACGAGAACAAAGGUCUUCAAUUGAUCAGGACGACCAUUGCUAAAGCAUGUUAUGCAGCAAAAGUUCAUUCUCCCCUUUUCUUUUCAUUUAUGUGUUUGGUUCGUUCAAUGUUCUAUAAUCACCUUGUAUUUCUUCUAUCUUCACCUUGUGAAAGAGUAAAACUUCUAAAGCUUGCUUCUUCCUUCUACUCAGGUUGUCAUUGGAAUAAAUGUUGCUGCAUUAGAAUUUUAUAGAUCGGACAAAACUUAUGAUUUGAAAUUGUCAAGGCAAUGGAUGCAAGCAACCCUUGUAAUUAAUGCCAAUUGUUAGUUUUAAUACAAAUUUUCUCAUUAUUAGUUCUAAAUUGUUUAAAUUAAACAUAUUUACUUUAGUUGACAAUUUGAUUCUAAUGAAUAAAAUCUAACAUAACUAUCAUCUUCGAUAGUCAUUUAAGCUCAUUUCGUGUUAUCGAAGGUUCUGACCACAUUAGGAUAUCAGAUCAGCUUUGAAAAUCAGGUGUACUCCAACUUCAUUCUGAUUUCAAAUGCUCGGCUAAUUUAUUUAAUGAAUUUGGCUGUUGAUCUUGCCUUUUAUGCAGUUGGAUAUAAACUACUAUGACCUUGGCCUUCCCUAGUGAGAUGUUGCUAAUGACUUAAAAAACCAUUCAAAUUGCAUAAGCUACUUUUGAGUUUGACAUCCUAUGUUCUCGAUUUGAAUAAAUAUUGAACUUCUGAUAAUAGGACUUUGAUAUCUUCAUUUUCUCAUUUGCUUCAUAAUAUUUGCAGUACAGAUAAAAUUUUCAACAUUUGUAUUUUUAAGUUUUCUAUUACAAUUUUCGUAAAUAUGUAUUCGUUCUUCUUCUUAGUUGAUAGUUAUUUUGUAUGUUGAAAUUGUAGGUUCAAUUUAAUAAUUAAAUGUGCCACCAUUUCUCCUGGUAGGCACAACUCAUCUUAAAUUGUUCGACGCUAUGCGUUGGCUCUUCAAAUCAUUUUAUCUUUAAAUUAUGAAUCAGAUCAUUAUCCCUUAUACACAUUAAUAAAAGAGGAAAUGUGAUGUGCAUUGUUCAUUUUUGUCCCCUCGUGUUCACACUCAAUCAGCAUAGGCACUAUUCAAAAACAAGUUUCAUACUGUUCAUCAAAAUAUAUUUGGUAUAUAUUAUAUAAAUGCCUUUUGUACCUCUUGUAAUGCCAUUUAUACCUUCCUAAUCUCUUAAAGAAUUGUAGGUAGCCAUUAACUUCGAUCAGCGAUAAGAACGACAAAGACGAAGACAUGAAGAAUAAGGUUUCGUCGCGAUACCUCGAGUUGGAUAAAUUUUUGUUUUGGAAAUCUAUUUUCCUUCUUUCUAAUUUUACUUUCUAAGUUUAGUCGCAUUUUUCUUUGUUUAAAUUUGGACGUUUUGAGUAUAUAUGAUAGCUGGGCAUUUCGUAAAUAGCUUAAAUAGUUCUUUAGUUUUGGGAAUUCCAUAUUCUGAUUUUUUGAGGUAACUCUUUUACCUUUGUUUAGAUGCUUAUUCUUUGUUCUCCGUGUCUGUUAGUUUGUUUCUGAACCGAAACUAACUUCUUGUUCUUAAAUUCAUUCUUUUGAUUUGAUUUUUUGAAUUUCAAGUUUAUUCUUAUUUUUAACUUCUGUUGUUUAAAUAGUGUGUGCCAAUAAUGUUGUGAGAAUGCAAAUUAUUAGUUCCAUGGUUCAUAUAGUGGACCUCCAUGAUUUCUCCAUUAGUAUCCUUGCUUGACGUCUGGCAAACAUUGAAUUAGUUGAAGCAGACCUCGGUUUGGCUCCAGAUCCCAAUCUCAACAUCUUGAGUGGUCAUCAGGUAAACUGAGUAGGACAAAUACAAACUCUUCAUCAAAAAAAAAAAAAAAAAAAACAAUGAAACAAUAUUUUCAUAUGCAGUGAGUAUUAUUUACAGAAUUGCAUUAUGCCUAGCUUGUCUUACCUUUGCUAUUUGCCCCAAAUGUAGAGAGUUGCUUCUCAUGUUUUGUGAAUAGCCGUCACAUGAGGAAUAAAAGCAUUUAACAACUUGGACUAAUUCUAUAUUUGUUCCUUCCAAAUAAGGAAAAAAAGGAUGUAAAAGAAUAUAUUUUUCUUCUAAGUUGAUGAAUCUCCUUUAUUGAUCAAUAUGUGAUAUUCCAACUCCUCAUCACUAUUGAAAUCCAGAUGAUAUUGCGAUUAAUUCAUUUUUGCCUAAACUCAACUAUUUAAACAAAACUAGAUCUUCAUUCUUUAUUUGUUUUUUUCCUUUUUACUAUUUUAACUGAGUAAAUAUCAUUUCUUAAUACAUUUGGUUAAUUUUGGGGUUUCACUUGCACGCAAUAGCCUACACCGAAGGAGACAAGUACUAUGGGGCAAAAGCAAUUAUUAAUGUUUGGGAACCUAAAAUACAGCAGCAUCAUAAUGAGUUCAAUUUGUCCCAAAUUUGGUUACUGGGUGGUUCAUUUGGUGAAGAUCUCAAUAGCAUUAAAGCUGGUUGGUACGUAUAUUUUUCUCCAAAUUACUUUGUCGAUCAUAAUUUGUUGCAUUCAUCUAACGGAUUAGAAUGCAUGUUAUUUCAAGUUAGCCUUGAUCUCUACAGGGAUAACAACACAACCAUUUUUGAAUACAUACCUAUAGACAAUUUAAAAAAGAAUGCCAGCUCAUAUUAAAUAGAAGUUAAUUAUAAGUACAAAAACUCAAAGAAAGCAUUUAAUGGACGUUCUUAAUAGUUAGUCUUGUGUUUUGGAACAUGCUUAUAUAUGUGACAAUUAUGCUUCUCUUCCAAUCCAAUUUAGCACAUCGAGUAAAAGCUUCAAUUGGCACCCGAUGUUGUAUGUCUCUAAUAACUGGAGCUAAUUGGUUAUAUGUAGAGGAAAUUUUACUAUUAGUUCAUCUCAAGCAUAAAUAAAAUAGUUAAUCCAUAAGCAAGCUGGAGUAUAGUAUGAAUCCUACUAUAAAUUUCUCUGUCAAAAUGAUUUUUCUUAUAUUUGUAGUUUUUUUCAUGGGACAAGCUUUGAGAAAUCAUUUGGCAAUGAUGAGAGAAGAGAAAGAAAAUCCCAUUUUGAGAAUUCUUAAAAUGAAAGAACGACGAGAAUCGAUUCCCUAAAAAAGAAAGCACUGAACGUGUCUUCAAAGUCAAGCAUUCUCUCAAGAAGAGCAGCAGAAGUAAGAGUGGUGUUAAUGGCAACUUCGUUUCAUUUGAGGAUAUUCGGGAUGCUGAUGAGCUGCAAGCUAUUAAGGCAUUUCGGCGAGCCUUGAUGCUAAUUGCCAAACAAGUUUGAUGAUUAUCAUAUGAUGUUGAGGUUAUUAUACAACACUUUUGCUACUUUUAGUCAAAUGUUCGCAUGUACGGAUGGAAAUAUAAAUUGUAUCCUAGUUUAACAUUUAGAUGUCCUAAUUUUAUCCUCGUUACUAUGGAGGUAACUAGACAUCCCUUCCUCCUUUAGUAGGACAAUUUAUGAUUUUGCUGCAUUACUUUAUAGUUUUUCCUAUAUUGCAGUCGGUGGUUAAGAUUUGAAGGAUUGCAUUUAAUAGUCUUUCCAGAUAAGUUACUUUUCUAUUUCUUGCAAACAUUUUAGUAGAUGGUUGGAAAAGUAUGCAACUAUUCGAACUUUUGUCGAUAAUUAUCCUGAAGUAACAUUUCGGUCUUUUAUUUGAUAAGAGAUAUUAGGUUUUGUGUAGUCUUGGUAGUGUAAUAUAUUGUGUCAUCCAAAUGUUGCAGACAUUUCAUAAAAUAUUUAUCAUCAAGAUGGCCCAGGUAUUAUGCUACUGUAGAAUAUUGUAAAGAGUUUCUUGAUCCUAGGGCCACCACUAAAUACAUGUAUGUUGCUAUUUCUUCCUUUUUUCCAUCUGGAAACAUUAUUUUUCUCACUUAAAUGGCUGACUUUAAUUACUCGGUCUAUCUUUUUUGGAAUAUCUCACAUGUUCUUGGAAACAAAUAUAAGAACAAGUUGCUUGAAAUAAAAGAUACCAAGUGCAAAACAAUGGAAACCGUUGUUGCAACUUGUGAACAUUGAAAUUUAUUUCGAGAUUCUGACGCAUAUUUUUGGGUGUGUGUAGUGCUCCGAAUUCUUUGGUGGAACAUAUAUCUUUGCAGACCAAGGGGUUUGCCUUCGGUCAGGUAAACGACCAAGGAAAAUUCCCCGAGAUACAAAAGGUCCUUCCUAACAUGGGAGCUAUUAAAUUGAUCUACAAAGAUAAUAUAUAAAUACUUGUGUUAUAAUUUUGAUCAUGUUAAAAAUAAUAAAUGGCUCGAAAUCAUGUUGCAGAUAGUGCUUGAUGGUAAAGCACAACUGCCAGGAAGGUGGUUGAAAAUCUUAACAACAACGGAAAGAUAGUUUAUGCUAAGCCCCACUACUUGAUUGUAUAGACUAUGUCUGUUGUGCAUAUGAUUAGGCACAACUACACAAUAUUUAUGUUUUAUGUGAGAUUUUAUUUUUAUUUGGUCGUUGAAGCAGGUAAAAGGCAGUGACAUCUCAACUGUUGAAUUUGGUUCUGAAGAUGAAGAUAUUUCUUCACCAAAAGCUAUUAGGAGUUACUCGCACCUUUGAUUGACUCAUGUUCGUGAGGAGGUAUGGUCAAGCCUGACAAUUUCAAGAUUAGAUAUUUAAUUAUUUGCUAUUGAAAAUAAUGUUUUCUAUAAGUUUAAUUGAAACCUCCCUUAUUUAGUCUUGAGUCUGGUGGUAGCUUGUGCAAAUAUUUAAUUUGGUGCUCGUAGGUCAGUUAGUAUUUGCUUAAUUGCAACACAAGUGCAAAAUUAUCAAUUGCUUGAUAUCAUCUCUUUGAUUGGUUUAAAAGCAUCUAUAUAUACCCUAAAAAGGUGUCCAGUUUCAUGGAAUUCAAAUUUAGAUAAAUUUUUAUAGGUCGGGUUGUGCAAUCUUUUGCUACUAAAAAAUCAAGUAAAGUGACAUUAUUCAAGAGUUCAUUAGUUAUUUGAUAAUUAUUAUUUAUAAUGUCUAUCAUUUUAUUUAUGAUAUAAGGUGCAAAUUCUUCAUGAAAUAUAACUAAGCACACAAUUUCUUGUAAGAAAUAUUUUUCCUAUAAAACUAAUUUUCCUUACUUAAGAAAGGGAUAUCUUUACCAUAUAGAGUGUGAACACAGCAUAGAAAAGUGUUGACACUUUCUCAAUCCCUCACAAAAAUUAAUGUGGAGGAUCAACCUUUCUCUUUUGAUUAUCUCAGGUUAAAGCUCAUGGAAACUCUAGCUUGGUAAAUUAUCACGAUAUGAUGAGUAUGUUCCUAUGGUUGACAAAGUUGUUGAUUCUGGAUGGAAAAAGCAAACAUCACUUUCAAAACCUUAUGUUGUUAAAGGUUAGUUGCUUUAGAAGUUCCACUUUUGUAGUUGUCUCCAUACAUAAUAUUUGAAUCAGCCUACGAUCUCCUCAUGCUUAUUUAUUCAUCUAAUACUUGCUUCGAAGACCUAGGGGGUCUCCUUUUCUUCAGUUGAACCCAUCUUUCUAUCAUUGCAAAUGUCGCCUUAGGUGCUCAUUUUUAUUCUUAUAACUCUCAUCAUAUGCAGAUCGUGUUUAGAGGUUAUCUAUGAUUAACUUAUGAUUUUUCUUUUGUUGAUAGCUAUGCCUUAAUAACAUUUUGUUAUAUCCUGAUAUUAAAUGACUGCUAUAUUGGAGAUAUAAGAUUAGCUAUGUCUAAAUAAGAUUACAAUGACACUAGAUUAGUAACUAUUUUUUGAUUGCAUAGUAUAUGAUUUUUCCUUUCUUUGAUUUUUAUAUCUCCAGGUAUAAGAUAAGAGAGAAGGAAAAAAUUGUUCAGGCAUAUUCUUCUUAGGAUCUUGAAGAAAUUUUUGUAAGUUUAUUUGUAUUACUUUGAUCCUAUAUCAAUUAUUUAUAGAAAUUAUUCUCAAAAUAAACACUCCAUUAUUUUACCAGAUCCAUUUUAUGUUACUAUAAUAAUUUUCAUAUUCUAAAUGUGUUGGCUACCAAAUAUCUUGAUUAGGAUUGAGGUAAGAUUGGUGUAAUAUAGAAUCUAUGUACCAUAAUUAAUUUUAUUAAUAUUCUAGGUAAGCCACUUUCUAAUUUCAAAUUCUACACUAUGUUUUUCAGAGCUCCGGUAGAAUAAGAGGAUGCUUGAUAAACCCAUCCGAGAAAUUGGAAGGAAAAAGACUAUUUACAAGCACAAGGAAAGAAACUGAUUGUGGAGAUAAAAAAAAAUGUAAAGCAAGGGCAGAUGGUAAGUUAUUCUCUAUAGAUAAUUUCAUUUCAGUUUCUUAGACUUUAUGACUCUCUUUUCUCCCAUAGGCCCCAUCUACUUUAUUGCCCAGGUUGCUCCCAUAAAGACAUUUUGGAAUUUUUUUUUUUUUUUUUUUAUCAGAUUGAUUUUAAAGAUAGAUUCAUUAAUGAUAAUUUAGUGAAUUUUAAUCUUCAUUAUAUGAACCAUCUAGAAGAAACAAGCUGUCCAAAUUUAAAGCUCAAAUAACAGAAGUGAAAGGGAUAAUGAUGGACAAUAUUGAGAAAGUAUAACAAGAGGCAUCAAAGCCCACGCACAAGAAGUCGAUACAGGAGUCGUGAAAGAGACCUCCCUACAAGCUUUUUGGUCUGCAAACGUCGGCAUGAUUGCAAGUCUAUUUUCAUGUUUCUUAAAUGAAAAUUCAAUUGCUAUUAUUUCUUGUAGUUGUUCAACCAGCUUCAAGCUACUUUCUUGUUAUUGAAAUUACUUUAAAAGCAUCGAUAUCUUCUUCCCAAUUUUUUGAUUUCACUAUCACGCCUUGGAGAUAUAUCUUCCAUAUUAUAAACAUUUUCUUUUCUACAG